RNAcentral lists this ribosomal RNA (253 nucleotides) under bacterium. Its description in RNAcentral is "partial 16S ribosomal RNA". It matches the Rfam family "Bacterial small subunit ribosomal RNA", at positions 524 to 776 of the family's 1533-position model. RNAcentral also lists the same sequence under 2 other names. The record is from RNAcentral.
UACGUAGGGUCCAAGCGUUAAUCGGAAUUACUGGGCGUAAAGCGUGCGCAGGCGGUUGUGCAAGACCGAUGUGAAAUCCCCGGGCUUAACCUGGGAAUUGCAUUGGUGACUGCACGGCUAGAGUGUGUCAGAGGGGGGUAGAAUUCCACGUGUAGCAGUGAAAUGCGUAGAGAUGUGGAGGAAUACCGAUGGCGAAGGCAGCCCCCUGGGAUAACACUGACGCUCAUGCACGAAAGCGUGGGGAGCAAACAGG